CAUAUUUUCUUUUAUGGGGGGGCGGGAACCUAUUUUUCUGAUUAUAAAAUGUCACCUUUGAAAUUCAAACAUAUAAGAAGUAUAAAUAAGGUGAAGAUCAGCCAUAAUUUUAACACUUAUUGGUGCUUAAUCUCCACUGUUUGAGUGUAAUGUGCACCAGUGUGUAUGUAUGUACAUGCAUACAUAUAUAUAUAUAGUAUUUGGUAUUUUCAUGCCAUGCUGGUGUGAACUUAUAUAACCAUUGGAGGAGAAAUUUGGAAAUGUGUAUUGGGAGCUACAAAAAUAAUCCUACUUUUUUUUUCAACAAAAAGUUUUAAGUACCUACUAUGUACCAGGUAUUCCUCGGGGCUUGUGGGAUAUACCUCAGAACAAAACGGGAAGAAAUCACUGGCUGCAUGGAGCUUAUAAUGAGAGAGAAAAAAUAAACAACUAAUAUAAUAAAUAACACACAUAUUGAAUGCUUGAAAAAGAUGAAUGCUACGAAAGAGGAAAGUAGCAGAGCAGGGUCAUAAUGGCUGCUGACAUUCAAUCUUUCCAUGAGGAGUCCCUUGCAGUCCCAGCACAUCUUCCUGGUGUUUUCUCAUCUGUUCUUGGUGAGAUGGUGGGGAAGGUGGGUGGAGAACCAGACAAUGUCUUCUCUUCACCUCCCUUCUGAGAUCCAAGCGUCACUUAGUGAUCACUGACAGCCAUGAGUUUUGUGCUUACUGGUUUGCAUUCUCUGAAACCCAAUCAUUCCUAUGAAUCACACAUACUGGUUUUGUACAGAAUAAAAUAAAAAACAUUUCCUC
RNAcentral lists this long non-coding RNA (788 nucleotides) under Homo sapiens (human). RNAcentral describes it as "HSALNT0128334". The record is from RNAcentral. Lineage: Eukaryota; Metazoa; Chordata; Mammalia; Primates; Hominidae.